CCUACGGGAGGCAGCAGUGAGGAAUAUUGGUCAAUGGACGAGAGUCUGAACCAGCCAAGUAGCGUGAAGGAUGACUGCCCUAUGGGUUGUAAACUUCUUUUAUAUGGGAAUAAAAUGUUCCACGUGUGGGAUUUUGUAUGUACCAUAUGAAUAAGGAUCGGCUAACUCCGUGCCAGCAGCCGCGGUAAUACGGAGGAUCCGAUCGUUAUCCGGAUUUAUUGGGUUUAAAGGGAGCGUAGGUGGAUUGUUAAGUCAAUUGUGAAAGUUUGCGGCUCAACCCUAAAAUUGCAGUUGAAACUGGCAUUCUUGAGUAGAGGAGAGGUGGGCGGAAUUCGUGGUGUAGCGGUGAAAUGCUUAGAUAUCACGAAGAACUCCGAUUGCGAAGGCAGCACACUGGACUGCCACUGACACUGAGGCACGAAAGUGUGGGUAUCGAACAGGAUUAGAUACCCGGGUAGUC
This 460-nucleotide ribosomal RNA is filed under the name uncultured bacterium. RNAcentral describes it as "partial 16S ribosomal RNA". It matches the Rfam family "Bacterial small subunit ribosomal RNA", at positions 338 to 795 of the family's 1533-position model. The record is from RNAcentral.